RNAcentral lists this unclassified non-coding RNA (329 nucleotides) under soil metagenome. RNAcentral's name for it is "partial contains 5.8S ribosomal RNA, internal transcribed spacer 2, and large subunit ribosomal RNA". The stretch from base 1 to 120 matches the Rfam family "5.8S ribosomal RNA", at positions 35 to 154 of the family's 154-position model. The record is from RNAcentral.
GAUGAAGAACGUAGCGAAAUGCGAUAAGUAAUGUGAAUUGCAGAAUUCAGUGAAUCAUCGAAUCUUUGAACGCACAUUGCGCCCCCUGGUAUUCCGGGGGGCAUGCCUGUCCGAGCGUCAUUACAACCCUCAAGCUCAGCUUGGUGUUGGGCCCCGCCGCCCCGGCGGGCCCUAGAGUCAGUGGCGGUGCCGUCCGGCUCCGAGCGUAGUAAUUCUUCUCGCUCUGGAGGUCCGGUCGUGUGCUCGCCAGCAACCCCCAAUUUUUUUCAGGUUGACCUCGGAUCAGGUAGGGAUACCCGCUGAACUUAAGCAUAUCAAUAAGCGGAGGA